CCUACGGGAGGCAGCAGUGAGGAAUAUUGCACAAUGGGCGAAAGCCUGAUGCAGCAACGCCGCGUGAGCGAUGAAGGCCUUCGGGGCGUAAAGCUCUUUCCUCAAGGAAGAUAAUGACGGUACUUGAGGAGGAAUCCCCGGCUAACUACGUGCCAGCCGCCGCGGUACUACGUAGGGGGCUAGCGUUAUCCGGAAUUACUGGGCGUAAAGGGUGCGUAGGUGGUUUCUUAAGUCAGAGGUGAAAGGCUACGGCUAAACCGUAGUAAGCCUUUGAAACUGGGGAACUUGAGUGCAGGAGAGGAGAGUGGAAUUCCUAGUGUAGCGGUGAAAUGCGUAGAUAUUAGGAGGAACACCAGUUGCGAAGGCGGCUCUCUGGACUGUAACUGACACUGAGGCACGAAAGCGUGGGGAGCAAACAGGAUUAGAUACCCGGGUAGUC
Molecule: ribosomal RNA, 439 nt
Filed under: uncultured bacterium
Lineage: Bacteria
Description: partial 16S ribosomal RNA
Rfam family: Bacterial small subunit ribosomal RNA
Source: RNAcentral